GCGUGAGUGAUGAAGGCCUUAGGGUUGUAAAGCUCUUUUGUCCGGGACGAUAAUGACGGUACCGGAAGAAUAAGCCCCGGCUAACUUCGUGCCAGCAGCCGCGGUAAUAC
This 110-nucleotide ribosomal RNA is filed under the name uncultured bacterium. RNAcentral describes it as "partial 16S ribosomal RNA". It matches the Rfam family "Bacterial small subunit ribosomal RNA", at positions 399 to 526 of the family's 1533-position model. The record is from RNAcentral.